CACUAUCUUCUUCAGAAUCAUCAACAUAAGAUUUCUGAACAUCGUCGUCAAUUUCUUCAACUUUCCUUUUCUUUUCGUACCGUUUUUAAAUUUUUUGCUCCUUCUUCAACCCCUUUUUUUUUUUUCAAAAUUUCACUGAUCUUCACUGGUUCAUUGCAAAACUUCGACCUAAUCUCCUUCAAUCUCCCAGAUUUCUUCAACUGUAUAGGAUUUACAACAACUUUAACUAAAUCUUCUUGAGUUAACCCAAGACUAAAAGAUUGUGCAUAAUCAAACUCUACAUUCAUAUUCCGUAUACCGCUAUUUAUUGGUGUUUUUGCUGUAUGUUCAUCCAUUAAAAUAUAAAACCCUUAAAAUCUGAUUUUCAGUUGAAUUACAGUAUAAUAAAAAAGGAACCGCUAAUAUGCAAUAUGCAAUUAAUAGUUACCUGAAAUAGAGGAAGUAAAUCAUUAGCACAGAUCGUGCUAGAAUCGUGCAAAAGGAACAAAAUUUGAAGUGGGAGAGAUCGUUAAUGGUGAAAGAAAAGGAAUAAAAAAUUUAAAUUAAGCAAAGAGAAAUAAGAAUGACGUGAAAAGGGGGAUUUUAGCCCAGUAACUUUCUUAGGGGGCAAAAAGUAGCGGACCACUUAAAACAAUACUAUAGAUGCUACAUAAUGUAAUUAGGAUAAAGUGUUGCUAUUUUUUGUAAUUUAAUACUUAAGUAUGUUACUAUAUGUAGUUUUCCCUUAUAUUUUAGGGAAAAGGACACUCUAUGACCUUUUUAAAAAAUAAUAGCUCAAGUUUGGCAUUUGGACAAAUAAUGUCCAGUUGGCUAAACAAAUGUCAUUUUAUUGUCAUUUUCUAAUCUUUUCCAAUUUGGGUCAUUUUGAUCCACGUAAUUCAUAUACAGUCCAUAUAUGAUACUUAUACAGUUUAUAUACAAUACUGAUACAAUAUUCAACUUGGGCAAUUCGACCCUUUUAAGAAUAUUUCAAUUUUUUUUUAACUAUAAAUUUUUAAAUUGAUCAAAUAUUCUGCUUUUUCUAUUCUUUAGAAAUAAUAAUUAAAUUAUAUAAAAAUGAUAUAAUUAUUAAAUAGAAUAUGAAUCUAUAUAAGAUAUAUGUAUAGAAAUUGUAUAGUUCUAUCAAAUAUGUAUAUGUACAAUAUAUAGAAAGUGUAUACAAAUUAUAUAAUUGUUGUAUAGAACGUGUAAAAAAAAGUACAGUUAUUAUAUAAAUUAUAUAUCAAAACUGUAUAAUUUUCGUAUAGAAUAUUUAUGUAUAAGAUCUGUAUAAAACCUGUAUAAAAGUUGUGUAAAAAUGGUAUAGAACCAGUCAGUAAAUUAAAAUGUCUAGAAAGUGGAAUUUAAAUUUCAUGGCCAUUUUCAAGGAAUAGUUUAAUUUGAAGUGCAAAUGUACAGUUAUUAUAUAAAUUAUGUAUCAAAACUGUAUAAUUUCCAUAUAGAAUAUUUAUGUAUAAGAUUUUUAUAAAACCUGUAUAAAAGUUGUGUAAAAAUGGUAUAGAACCAGUCAGUAAAUUAAAAUGUCUAGAAAGUGGAAUUUAAAUUUCAUGGCCAUUUUCAAGGAAAUAGUUUAAUUUGAAGUGUCGUUUCUGUCCUUUCCCCUAUAUUUUAGUUUAUCAAAAUUAGUGAUAUUUUGCUAAUAAAAUCAAAUAUUAUCUUAAUCAUCAUUGUGAUUAGCACGUAUUCUUAAAAGUCUAAGAAAGAUUUUAUAUGGUUCAUUGUGAUCUAUAUUGAUCUCCUCUCUAAAAUAUUUCAUGUUUAACUUUCAAAUAUUAACUCAUUGACGAUCAAAUUAGAGCUUCAAAAUUUUUUUUUUUAUACAAUUUGCUACACUAAAAAAUAUCCAUUAUUCAGAAUCAACAUGCAAAAUUAAAUUAUGACUAGCCUACAACUUGAAUACAUUUUCAUAUAAUUCCAUCAUACGAUUGUAAUAUAACUUUAAAUAUAAAAAUCAAGUUCAAUUAGAAAAAAAAUAUAUUUUCAUAUAAUUCCAUCAUACGAUUGUAAUGUAACUUUAAAUAUAAAAAUCAAGUUCAAUUAGAAAAAAAAUUAUACUAGUAUAAAACUUUUCAUAUAACUUUCAUGCAAAUUUAACACAACUCCAUACCACUUGAUAUGAUUUCCAUUCAUUUUCCAUAUAAAUUGCUUAUAGUAUUUUACUUACUAUUAAUAAGUGUGAAGAAUCAGACAGCUAUUCAUCAACAUGUUUGCUUCUUCACCUACUUCAGCUGUUCCGUCAUUUUACUAUAUUAUCCUUAGUUAAUUAUUUUAAGUCAUUUAUAUAUAAGAAAAUUAAUAAUAUUCAAUUAAAAAAAAGAUAAAAUAGACAUUUAUGACAUGUUUAUUUCAACUGCUUUAAUCAUAAUUUUAUCAUACCGCUCUAAUUAAUUAUUAUAAGUCAUCUAGAUAUUAAAAAAUUAAUAAUAUUUAAUAAAUAAUAAAAUAUAUAUAAUUAAUAAAUUAAUUCUUGAUAUUUUAAAUUAAUAGGACAUCUUAUAUGAGACUCAUUUUAAAAAAAUUUCAAGUAUGUUUGCUCCAUGAUUUUACUAUAAUACCCCUAAUUAAUUAUUGUAAGACAUUUACGUAUAAGAAAAUUAAUAAUAUUUAAUUAAAAAAGAUAAAAUAGACAUUUAUAACAUAUUUGCUUCAGCUGCUUCAACCAUUAUUUUACUAUAUCACCCCUAAUUAAUUAUUAUAAGUUAUUUAGGUAUUAAAAAAUUAAUAAUAUUUAAUAAAAAAUAAAAUUGACAUAAAAUGAUAAAUCAAAUUCUUGAUGUUUUAAAUUAAUUGACAUCUUAUAUGAGACUCAUUUAAAUUUUUUUCACAAAUAUUUUACCAUAGUAAUUUUGCUAUAUUACUUCUAAUUAGGUAUCAUAAGUCAUCUAGGACAUUUCCGCUUCGCUGUUUCAAUCAUAAAAUUUGAUUGACUCUCGAAUUUAUUUUAGUGCCACUUAAAUUAGAAUAGAAGAAAAAGUAUUAUAAAUCAUAAUAAUUAAAAACUUAAAUUAUUUUUAAAAUAUAAUUGACUAUCAAUGCCACAAAAAUUCGGAUAAGGAGAAUAACAUAUAAUAUUUAAAAAUUACAUAAAAAAUAUUAUAAGCUACAAUAGCUAAUAAUUUAAAAUAUUUAAAGACAUUAAAAAUAUGAUUGAUUAUCUAAAUUAUAUUUAUGUCACAUAAAUUUGGGGUAGUUUUAUCAUUUUAUAAUUUACAUGUUUUAAUAUUUUAAUUUAGUAAUUUGUUGAUCCAAAUGAUAUUUUCGAAUUUAACAUGUUUUGAAAAUUUAGUACUUUGUUUAUUUUAAUUUUUAUUUUAUUUUGGUAAAAUAUUAUAUAUUUAAAAAUUAUGCAAAAAAAAAAUUAUAAGUCAUAACUAUUAACAUCUUAUAAUAUUUUAAAAACAUAUAGUUAAAAAUAUGAUUGACUUUUGAGAUUCUAAUAGUGUCACAUAGGUUGCGAUAAAGCAAGUAAAAUAAAUUAUUUAAAAAUUUGAUUGACUCUCUUAAUUGUAAAAUUGGGACAAAGCGAGUAACAUAAAUUACUAAAUUAUGUAAAAGGUACUAUAAAUAACAAUGAUUAAAAACUUAAAUUAUUUAAAAAUUUAUAUUAAUAAAAGUUUGAUUGACACUUCAAAUGCUAUUUGUGCUAUAUAAAUUGAGAUAACUAAAUAAUAUAUGUUGGGCCCGUGCUACAGUAUCUAGUACAUACAUAUAGCUUGUUUGGGAUUUAGUUUCUCAAAAAAAAUAAAAAAAAUUAAGAGAAGGUAUUUGAUAAACUUGUAAAAGUAUUUUUAAAAGAAGCAGAAGUAGCUUUUCUAUUUUUAAUAAGAAGUUGAAAUUUUUUGUAUUUCAAAAAAGGCAGAAGCAGAAAUCUCUAUCACUUAUACUCAAUACACAUAUAUACUAUUCAAUUUAUCCGCUUCGCGCGGUCAUUAAAUUACUUUUUCUAAAAUUUUAAAAAUUUGAAAUAUUUUUAUUUUCAAUUCAUAAAUAUGGAUCAUAUUAAAUAGUCAUAACUAACCAAAUUCUGCCAAAGGCAGAACUAUUAUAUUAGAUACAAAUUCAAAUCAACUAGUAGUAGCUUAGUUAAAUGAGCAAAGCCCCACAUUUUAGUUUUGUUUCAAUCAAGAUAAUGUCAUUUUAUCAUAAUAUAAAACAAAUAAGAAAAUGUCAAGAUCAAACAUUAUACAUCAAUAAAUAUGGAUAUUAAAUUAAUAUUAAUAGCAUAGUAAAAUACUCAUAUUAAUUACGGUUCUCAAGGGGCGUUCAAAGACCAAAUUAAACUAUGGGAGUAUAAUUAUAUUUCGCCGAUGGAGUGGUGGGUAGUUAACAGUGGUUUUCAAUGGGUCCGGUGAUGAAUUCCACUAUUGUUGUAACCUUGCAUUAAACCAUGUACAUGAAAUCUCCAUGAAUUUGGAUCAUUUCUACCAAAGGCACAUGACAAAUACCCAGUAAAACUUCUUGACACAACAACAUUUGAUAACACAUAUUCCAGUAAUAUAUUUGCUCCUGCAAAGUACCCCACAAAUUCCCCGGCAUAUUCAUUAACAACAAAUAUAUAAACUUGUUCUACACAACAAAAAUAUUGACAAUUUAUGUAACAUGAUAAAUUAGACUGACGGUGUAUAUACUCCCUCGUUCCUUUACAUUUCGCUUCAUAAGUGAACGGAGGGAGUAUCGAUUAACCUAUCGACAGUUGCAUGUAAUUAUCUUUUAAAUGACACGUCAGUAUAUACAAGUCAAAACCUUACCAAAGGCAACUCGAAGAUAACUGAAAGCGCCACUAGCAACAGGAACAUCAACAAAAAACUCAGUAUAACAAAAGGAAUAAAGACGGGUUGAUAUAAAAGCUAUUAUGUAUGAGAUGAAAACUCAGAUAUCUAGAGUUUUUUCGAGCAACGGGGCCAGUAGUAAGAAAGACUCCAACACCAAGCAUUCCCCCAACUCCAAGUUCUACUAAAUCAUCCAAGUCAGUUUCCUCUUCAUGUCAGCACCAGACCUUAGCCUCACUUUGUUGAGUUCUUGGUCCGGUGUUCAUGUUGCUAACAUUCUUUUCUUUAGCUUUUGAGGUGUUUUGGAAAGAGAUUUAAGGUAAGUUGAGAACACCAUCCUUUUUUUUUGUUUUUUUUGGGUGUAAAUGUAGUUUCAUUGGUUUUCAAUGAGAUGUCUUUAUAUAAGCAAUCGGAAUAACAUCUUUCUUGUAAGCAUUCUAUUAUAUAUGCGACUGGUCCAACUAUCUAGUGUAUUUGUAUAUAUUUUACACGUAGUUUGUAUAUAUUUUAAUGGUCUAUGAUUUUUUCUGUCGAAUUAACUAGUUAAGUACUGAAUCAGUGUUUAAAAUCAUGCCUUAUACUUUGUGAUACAAGUAUGAUCAUAAUCAUGACACUUUUGAGUAUUUUUGAAGACUAGUCACUAAAGAGCCUUUUUGUCAUUUUAUCUAUUAUUGUAAUGUAGUAUAAAUAGAACAUUGUAAGGUUUAUUUCUUUAGUUGAUCAUUAUUAUUGAAGAAUACUUCUCUUAGAGUGAGAGAGAGUCCAAUUGAAACUAGGGCAUAACAUAAGGGUGGAUUCUCUUGUGUGUUGCAUUUUGCUUGAUACGUUGGUGCUUGGGUGGUGGACGCCUCUCUUGUGUCAAUUGUAAGAUUUAGGUAUUUAUUGUGUGAAGUUUUAAAGGUCCAAUAGUGGAAUAUGCUUUUGGAUUGUUAAGACUACAUCAACACUUGUCUAACUACCUAUCUUGUAUCUUGUUUUAGUUUCGGCUUCUUGUGUUGUUAAUGUAACCCGUUUGUUCUUGUUGCUAUUGUAAUAUUGUGGAGCUUCAUCUUGUAUUGCUAAACUUGUUUUUGGCUGGCUGUUUUGGUGUAUUAACACCCUGUAUCCUCUAUUUUCUUGUUCUAGAUAGUGAAUCCAAGAGAGGUCCCCAUUUGGUACACGAUUUGUUGUGAUUUGUGGACUGUUUUGGGGUGUGAUUUUGUAUUCCCUUGUUUGUUCCGUAUCAUUUGGUAUCAGAUCAAGGUUUGAUUUUGUUCCAACAAAAUCAAUCUUGGGAUUGUUAUCUUUUAAAAAAAAGUUACUGUUCACGUUUUUAGGGUCUUUCAAAAAACUUAAUUUUUGUGUGUUUCUAGUGUUAGAUCUUGUUCCCUAACACUAUUAGAGUAUAGAAAUUGAAAAUCCUAACAAAAAAAGAAGUGUCAAAAUCAAAAAUCCCCCAAAAAUAUACUAAACCCAUUUUUAAUCCUAGGUCAAAUUUUGAGUUUUUGAUUUUGCGUUUUUCUUGUGUUUUUAGUGUUAGAUUUGUGUUCUCUAACACUAUAGAAGUAUAGGGUUCAAAUUUGAGCUAAAUUGGAGGUUAUUUAAGCCAUCCACCAAUAUUGAGCUUGAGGUUGAAGAAACUUGAGGGUGGGAUCUUAUUGUGGGAGGUUGUUAUAAAAUAACGUGUGUUUUGUGUUGUAGGUUUUGCUUUGUAUUAUUGUGUGUGACGUUGCGGAUUGAUUUGGUAUCUUGAUUGGACCGUAACUUGAAAGGUUAUUUUUGAUACCACCACAAUGGAACCUGAGGCUUCAAAUGCUCAAACAAUAGAUAAUAAUGCCAUCAAUCUCAUUUUGGCUCGCCUUGAAACUAUGUCCCGAGUGUGGUUAGGUUGAAUGUGGGUCUUGAGAAAUUAGAUACGAAUGUGGAAUCAAUGAGUGGGAGAUUAGAACGUGUGGAAAGCCAAAGGAGUCGACCUUCUACCCCUCAAAACAUUUUCCCAACUAAUACUUCCGAGACCUUGCACCAAAUGCAAUAUACACCAAUUGCCAUAAAUCAAACCAAUCUUUACUCCCGAAGCCAAGAUCAAGAUAGACCAAGCCAUCCUUCACUCCACCAAGUCCAACAAGAAGGGCUUGUAAUCCAAAUACCAUCACCAAACCCGAACCCUCCUAUCCAAACUCCACUUGACCAAAAACCUCACUAUCCAAAUCCAAUCCCGCCACUACAAGCUCUACUUAACCCAAAUAGACCCAUCCAUGUUGAGGGCUAUGGUAGGGGAGGACAACAUGAUGGUUAUGGGCCGNNNNNNNNNNNNNNNNNNNNNNNNNAGGAGUCGACCUUCUACCCCUCAAAACAUUUUCCCAACUAAUACUUCCGAGACCUUGCACCAAAUGCAAUAUACACCAAUUGCCAUAAAUCAAACCAAUCUUUACUCCCGAAGCCAAGAUCAAGAUAGACCAAGCCAUCCUUCACUCCACCAAGUCCAACAAGAAGGGCUUGUAAUCCAAAUACCAUCACCAAACCCGAACCCUCCUAUCCAAACUCCACUUGACCAAAAACCUCACUAUCCAAAUCCAAUCCCGCCACUACAAGCUCUACUUAACCCAAAUAGACCCAUCCAUGUUGAGGGCUAUGGUAGGGGAGGACAACAUGAUGGUUAUGGGCCGUAUGAUGACGUUUACUUGAGGGAAGAAAGAAUGAGGUGUAGACAUGGGGAGUUAGGCCGAGAGGUGAGGGAUGACCACCCAAACCGAGAUGUAGGUCUCAAUUCCAUCAAAGUGAGCCUUCCCGUUUUCAAAGGUGGGAGUGAUCCCGAAGCCUACCUUGCAUAGGAGUCAUCUUGUGACAAGAUUUUCCAACUUAAUGAUCUCGCCGAAGAAAAAAAAAGUUGUUAUGCUAUAGCUCACUUCGAAGGGUAUGCUAAUACAUGGUGGGAGUAUGUUAAACGAUUUGAGAAUGAGAUGAUUGGGUGACAACCUCCUCCUUGGUUUCGAUUGAAGAACCUUAUGUGACAAAGGUACUUUUUCGAGACUUAUAGGCAUGAGCUCCUUGCUAAAUUAUAUUAUUUGAAGCAAGGGAACAAGAGUGUCAUGGCUUACUAUGAUAAAUUUCAACAAUUGAUAUUGAAACUUGACCACCGAGGUGAGCAAGUAAGUCAUUACAUUGUGCGCUUCAAGGUUGGGUUAAACAAGGACAUCUCCACUCGCAUGACGCUUCACAAAUUCAACACCAUAGAUGGCAUCUUCCAUGCGGCUUGAGAGGUUGAAAGGGAGCUCAAAGAUAACUCAUUCAUGACUACCCAACCCGAGGCUACCAAGGUUGUCCAAAAACAUCCUCCAAGGUAUGAAGGUAAAUUGAAUUCUACUUCCAAUCCCAAGGGUGGGGCCACAAGGCUAGUGAGUUCCCAAACUAGAGGAACGUGAUCCUAAGAGAGAGAAAAUUGUACUAUCUUGGGGAAGAAGUAGUAAUUGAAUCGGCUAAAUUUGCUGGCAAGGCUCAAGAUGGAGAGCAAAAGGAGGUUAAAAUGCAAGGCGAGGAAGAUGUAGAAGAUAUGUGGCCGUGUGAAGGAGAUUGUGAAGUACCUUUGUAAAAAAGGUGAGGUUAUGAAUUUGUGGGCAAAUUCCUCUCAAGAUGGAGAGGAUAAUACAAGUAUGAUCAUCAUGAUCAUGACACUUUUGAGUAUUUUUUAAGACUAGUCACUAAAGUGCCCUUUUGUUAUUUUGUCUAUUAUUGGAAUGCAGUAUAAAUAGAACAUUGUAGGGUUUAUUUCUUUAGUUGAUCAUUAUUAUUGAAGAAUACUAGAGAGAGUCCAAUUGAAACUAGGGCAUAACAUAAAGGUGGAUUCUCUUGUGUGUUGCAUUUUGCUUGAUACUUUGGUGCUUGGGUGGUGGAUGCCUCUCUUGUAUCAACUGUAAGAGUUAGGUGUUUGUUGUGUAAAGUUUUAAAGGUCCAAGAGUGAAAUAUUCUCUUGGGUUGUUAAGACUACAUCAACACUUGUCUAACUACCUAUCUUGUAUCUUGUUUUAGUUUCGGCUUCUUGUGUUGUUAAUGUAAUCCAUUUGUUCUUGUUGCUAUUGUAAUAUUGUGGAGCUUCAUCUUGUGUUGCUAAACUUGUUGUUGUCUGGAUGUUUUGGUGUAUUAACACCUUGUAUCCCCUUCUUUCUUGUUCUAGAUAGUGAAUCCAAGAGAGGUCCCCAUUUGGUCCAUAAUUUGUUGUGAUUUGUAGACUGUUUUGGGGUGUGAUUUCGUGUUCCCUUGUUUGUUCUGUAUCACUUGCGCAAUAACUUUCAUAUGAAUCCCAUUGUUGGAAUGAAGGAGAAAAUUUGAAAAUUUUACUCGUGAUAUCCUAUGAAUAAAAACGUGAUGAUGAUUACACUGUACAAACUUUCUUAUUUACUAAAAGGAAUAUGCUACUACUGAAAAACUACCUUCCAGCUGUCUUAUUUACAAUUUACCGAAGUAUCUCAAGUGGGUCGGAUUGGGCUGGUCCGACUCGGUUAGAUCGAUACAAACAGAGGUUCGGACUGGUCUGGCCCGGCACCGGCUAAGGGGGCGGGUUUGGGGGUCGGGUGCUCAGGUUGGUCUUCUGGUCCAAGGAUCCCGAUGGAUUGACCUAGUUGAUAAAUCAGACCAGGCCCACCGAUCAUCCGGACUAAACUGACCCGGUUGUUUUAAUUUUUUUUUAAUUACAUUUUCUUACCUAACAGCCCACCUAAAUUUUGGACCGUUGACCAGUAACGACUAUAUAGUCGUUGUCCCAAUAGCCAAAUUCAGCUUUGGCUGACAUUUCUUUGAAAAAAAGAUAUUCAAUUCAAUUUUUUUUUGCUAUAAACAUAUGGCAUUGGAAAUUAACUUUUUCCACAACUCAUAAUCUCAUUCUCUUAAUUAUUCUAAUUAUCUCCUAAAGUGCUCAAUUUUAUUUUAUUAUUUUGCAAUUACAAAUAUCAAGUGGAAGUUUUCAAAAGUCUUAACUUAUGAAUACUUCAAAAUUUUGGUAUUGUUGUUCCAUCUCUUACUUUAAUUUUUAAUUAGUGUAUCAAUUGUUUAAUAUUUAUUUUUAUAUUUUUUAAAUAUUUAUUAGUUUAAUUUGUAAUAUGGAUAAAUUAAGAAAAAUCAGUAAAAGUGUUAUAAAUUUUUGUCUCGGAAGUGGUAUUGAUAGUAAAAGUAAAUUGAUUCUUGUUCUGGUAGAGAUAGUUCAAGUACUAGAUAUGCUCGUGUGCCUUCGGUACCAAUUAGCGAACCCUUUGAGAAUGAAAUAGGUGUAGGUACUCACGAUAUAAAUUUUUUAGAAGCUCAAAAAAAUUAUGGUAUAGAAGAAGAAAAUGAAGUAGACACAAUUGAUUUAAAUGUAGUUAAUGAUGCUAUUAGUGAUAUAGCCGAAGUCGAUAAUGCCGAUGUUAUAUCUAAAUUGGUUAAUCUUCCUCCCCGGCCCCUGUAAGAUCUUGUAAAAAAAUAGUAUUUUUUUGUAUGAAAGUAGAAGGAACUACAAAGGUCCAAUGCAAUAUUUGUCAGACAAUUAUAUGGGCAUAAAACCGAAGGUAAUAAAGGGGGUACGGGUGCGUUGUGAGACAUUUGAAAAAUGAACACCCAAUAGAGCUAGCUGCGGCAAAAGGUGGUGGGACUAUUAGGAAACCAACUCAAAAUAGAUUGGACCCAAGAACCGGUCAAUUAGUUCAGAAUUGUAAUAAAAUAAAAGAUAAAAAAGAAUUAACAAAAAUGAUAGUUGUGAGUUGUUUGCCUUUCUCUUUUACUUCUUCUGAAACUUUUAUUCAUUUUAUUUAAGAAAUUUACAACCCUAUGUUUACAGGUAUUCUUAGAAGUACUUGUUGGUCUGAUAUUUUUGGACUCCAUGCACAAUAUAUUUAUUAUUUAUCUGCAUUAUUAUAAAGUCUUCCAUUUAGAGUUGCUCUAACUUCUGAUCUCGUUCGUGCUGUUAAUAAAAAUGAUUAUUUAACAAUUAUUUAUCAUUGAAUAGAUAGUAAUUUUGUUAUGCAAAAACGUAUUUUAGUAUUUUUGUAUGAUGAAGACUGUAGACACACUGUGAAAUUUAUUUAUGAAUCUAUUACAAAAGUUGCAAAAUAUUAUGGCAUUGAAAGAAAAUUAUUAUGUAUAUCUUUUGAUAAUACAUCAAACAACAACGUUGAUGUUGACUUGUUAAAAGUUAAACUUUAUCCACCAUUACCCGAAAUAUUUCAUGUUAAGUGUGCUUGUCAUAUAUAUAAUUUAAUCGUAAAAGAUGAUCUUAAAUUUUUUGAGUUUAGUAUUGAAAAAGUUAGACUUGUGGUUGACUUUAUUCAAGGAAAUCAUAGAAAAAUUAGACUUGUAAGAUUUAAAAGAAAAAUGUGAACAAAAUAGACUUAAACCGGUAUUAAUGCGUAGAUUGUAAAUGGAAUGCUACUUAUGAUUUUGUAAGAACUUGUUUUAUUAAUAAAGUUCCUAUUACAAUGACUUUUAAUCAAUUUACUGAUUGUUUUCCUAAGUGUAUGUUAUAUGAUUCUGACUGGGCUAUAAUUGCUGAUCUUGUUAAAUUUUUGAAAAAAAUUAUAUAGCUAGGAUUGAAUUUUUUGGUGCUUAUUAUACUAUUGUUUGUAGUAUUUUAGCUUAUUUAGUCAACAUUUCUUGUUUGCUUAACGAAUAUAAGGAUAAACUAGGUUACAAAGAAGCUAUUGCUGCAAUGACUGGUAAAUUUUAAAAAUAUUUUUUAUCUGCUCCCCCUAUUUACUUGAUUGGUGCUAUAAUAAAUUAAUGUAUGAAAUAUAAUACUAUGUCCAAAGUUAAUUCUAUUAUUUAUAAUGCUUUAGCUAUACAACCUGAAGAAGAACCUUCUUUGUUUAUGGCUAUGGGUGAUGCAAUGCAAAUAAUUACAAGAACGCAUUAUACAAUCAUUAUGCUUGUUAUACCCCAUUUUAACACGAGUCAAACCAAGGUACAACAUAUUGAAAAACUUCUAAUUAAAUUUAAAGAAGUCGUCAUCUAAUUAGUUCUACGGUGAAUUAGGAUACUUAUUAUAAACUAAGUGAUUAAAAAAAAAUAAAGACUUCAUUGUAUGGUCUACGCAACUUAAAAUUCUAGGUAAGAAUUCUAAUUAUCCUAAAGGGAAGGGAUUGGGCACCCUAAAGGAUCCGCUAACUAUGGUUAACCGACCAAACUUAGAUUAGAUAAAAAAAUCAAAAGCUAUGUUAAGAAAGAUAUAAAUAAGGUAUUAAAAUAUAUUUGUCUUAUUAAAACAAAACAUGUUAAUUAUUUAUAAGAAAAUAUUAGAAAAAUUUUAGAAAGGUUCACCCACUUUUAAAAAUUAUAAAAAGAUAACUCCUAAAAAUAAUACAACCUUAUUGUUGUCAAGAGAAAGUUAUUUAAAAUUAAAAGAAAAGACAUCAAAAUUCCUCCGAACUUAUUGCCAAAACUUACUUUAGACCCUAAACUAAUCGGGCAAUUAUUGACCCCCCUUAACAACUUUCAAGUGAAUUAAAUUCACCCCCAAAAUCAAAAUCCCACUCUCACAAUGGAGAGUGCACUAUACACACGCCAUGUCGUUGCCAAAUCAGCGCCACAUCAGUGCCAUGUCAUUUCCACGUAAAAAAUUAUAUAUAUUUUUUUAAAAAGUAAUCCCCCACACAUACAAUUUUAUAUAUAUUUUUUAAAAUAAAAAAAUAUAUAUUUACUAUUUUUAUAUAUAUAUAAAGUAUAUAUAUAUAUAUAUAUAUAAAGUAUAUAUAUAUAUAUAUAUAAAGUAUAUAUAUAUAAAGGGUAAGGAUGGGUGAAAAAGACCAAAAUACCCUUGAGCAAAUUAUAGAACUAGAGCCCAAUUUUUGGCCCUGGAGUGACGCGCCAGGAUUGCGGUCCUUCUAUGAAAUUGGACAAUUGGGAAAUUGCUUAGUGGUGUAAUGUGGUGAAGUCACAUUUGAAACCUUGGUUGUGACCUGGAAGGGCACCGUGAUGCGGUGGAAUCACGUUGGUACACUAGAAUUUGACAAUCCUAAAAUUGAGCCUUGGCUCGAUGCGUCAAUAUCGCGGAGGAUCACUGGAAGACAAUUGCCAUUUUGGCUGGCUCCGCGAUGCACUAAAGUGCUAGGUGGCACACUGUCUCAGUAAAAUGGCUCUAACUUUUCACCCGAGUGUUGGAUUUAGCUGAAUUUGGUAUCAAUGGAAAGCUUAUUUAAUGCUCUACAUGGAAAAAAGUAGAAAUUAGAGAAAUACAAGAUGGUAUAAACAUCAACCACUUUAGAAGUCAUCCAUAUUCACUUAAAAGGUGGAUUUAGGCUUAAGAAACGAUCGGGGUAUUACACUUAGCUAGCGAUUCUGGUGUUCUUUUGAAAUUUCCAGAAAUUAAUGAAGUGACAUAUGAUAAUCUAAAGCCUGGAUCAAUUAAUGCAUAUACCUUAUGUGAAAAGAUGGACAAUGUACCUAUAACCACGUCAAGAGAAGUCUCCAAAUUUUAUCGACCUGCUAGAGCAUAUGUAUGAUUCUGAACACCACUAGAACUAGCUCCCUUAACACCCCUACCACAACCAGUAGGUACUUGCUGAACCCUACCAAAAGAAGGAACCGAGGAUGAUGAUGCAACAGUAGAUCCAGUAGGUCGUGCCAUAUCAGCCAUGCCCCUUUUUGGGCAAUCUCUCAUUAUGUGUCUCGGUAUUCCAACAAAUAACAAGAAUUUUUCCCAAACUGACAUGUACCUAGAUAAUUUCUUCCACAAUGCUUAUAAAGCUAUGAUGUAUUUUCUCUAAAAUUAAUUCUUUACAAAAGUUUUCAAUCAAUAAUUAAAAAGUUAAUUAUAUUAAGAACUCAUUUUUUAAUUCUAAAAAAAUGACUUAUGCAUUUUUAUAUCAAAUUUCAUAAAAAUAAGUUAAUUAUCCUACACUAAAUGAAUAGACAAAAUAUAUAAUGUCUUGAGAAUUUAUUAUUUAUUACGAUACGAAUAAAUAAAAUAUUUCUUGUCAUUACGAAUUCUUAAAAGAGACUUGCGAAGUACUAUCUUUAAUUUGAAAUUAAUAAAAAAAAAAUUGAUUUACUGCAUCUAAAAUUAGUAAAGCCGGUUUUCCGAGUUUAGCGAUAAUAUGCCCAUCUCCACAAAAAACCUAUAUUUUAUUAAUUCAACAUUAGUAACUAAUGAGAAACUAAUUUAAUUUUAAAGAUAGGGCCAUUUAUUCUAAAAAAUAUGUUAUCGCCUAUCAAGUUUUAACCUUUUAAUGAUAUAAACUAUAUAUCGAAGCUUAAUGAUUAUGCUAAGUUUAAAUUCUACGAGGUAAAGAAGAAACGAUUAAAUUUGCUACCACAUUAAAGGUUCGCAUUAAUUCAAACAAGAACACACAAAACAUAAUUAAUGUAUGAAAUGUUAGAACAAAAUAAUAAUGAUUGUCUACAAAAAAAAAUAAAUUUUGAAGAAAAAGGGAAUGAGGAACUAGAUUGCUAGACAAAGAUACGUAAUGCAUCUGUUAUGUCGCUUCUCUGAUUUGGACAGAGAUAGGGUCAAGCCAUGAGGCCCCAAACGCACUCCCAAGUGUACAUGACAUAAAGAAAAAGAUGAUGAGAAGGAUUAGAAACUCGAACUUAAAUAGUAUAAGUAUUAAGGAGAUAUACAAUCUGAGACUAUAGAAUGAUUCAAAGUUCCAGUUUGAUGAGCAAACGGAAGAAGUAAAUUCAAAUUUGAACCUAGUAAACUAGAUGAGCUAACUGCUGUGAUAUGGCAGACAAGAAACAGAGUGCAACACUAAAUCAGAUUACAGCUUAAAAAUAAGAAGAAUAAAACCUAACUAUCUCAAACAAACACCUAAAAAAUGGCACUGACAUCUUAAACAAAUCAGAAGAAAAUGUCCCCUCAAGUCUAAUCCUUAAUGGAAAUUCAUGUUGAUUAUUUGCAACCAUUUAUCACGGUGAAGGGAGGGUGAACAGAUGAUGAAAAUACUUGAUCAGACUAUUCAGGUUUUAAAAAAAAUGAACAAAGCAUAGAGCUUACAAGCUAAAACUGAACGCUUGGCGUAAAUAUGAGAGCUCAUUUCAAUUUUAAAACACAUCAUGGAUGCUAAAGAGAUAUAUGGCAUAUCGUAAUAAAAUAAGCAAACAAACACUUAGAAGGACGCAAGAGACAGACUUAGUGUUUCAACUCGAAGGUAUUUUUAAGAUUCAUUCUAGGCCAAGAGAAAACGAAUUAAAAAAUUCGACUAGCUCGGCCACAAUCUUACACAAAUAGCUAUAAAUUUAAAUGAACUUUGCACAAAUUACUUCAAAGUUAUUCUUGUGAUUCAACAAAUCUGGGAAUUUAAAUGACCAAACUUACCCAUAAAUCUGGAAAAAUUAUAGAGCUAACUACAAGCCAAACUAAAAUACUACUUCCUUUGUUGUAUUCUCAAAAUUUCCACUUGAGGACAUUUGAUCUUUCAUGGAUUGAUGGAGUCCACAAAUAAUAGAUUAAGACCUAGUUAAAAACGAUGACACUUUCUUUACAAGAACCUUUUUGCUUGAAAGGAAAACAUGGCAGUUAAUUAUACACAAACACGGUCAUUUGGUUAAAAAUAUAAAAGGGAGAAUAUUCCAUGUUCUUUGCAAAAGUGUUUAAAGCUAACAUAUGCAUAGUUUAAAAUGGAGAUGUACUUCACCCGAUUUGAUGGUUAAAAUUAGUGCGUGUAAGAGAGAGUUCGCAGGGAUCCAUUCGAAGAGUCUUUAGAAAAGGAACGUGUUAAGAUUGUGUCAAAAUGAUAAAUACAAGUUGAUCAAACAUAAUACUCACGGGAAGUUGACGUAUCUUAUGCCAAUCUUUGAUGACAAGAAUAAGCUAAACAAACAUCUUUUGUAAGGGAAUAAAAAGAAAUAAAGACAGGGGUUAACUGUUGGGUUCAUAGUAUAUGAAAAAAGUGUGAAUGAAAAAAUAGAGAAUAAAAUGGUGGAGGGGAAGGAGACACUAAAAUGGAAAGUGUAUUCCCAAAUUAGAAAGUUUAUUCUUUCUCCCACAUUGAUGGAAGAAGAGAACUUGAAAGUAUUUAUAAUCAAGAACACUUACUCCACAUGGCAAGUGAGGCAAGAAAUAAUAGAUGUCUCGCUCCGUCGUCAUCGCUUGGCUUGAAUUUGGAUUUGUCUUUUUAGACAAACUUUAUUUGAAUUACGAAGAAUGCCAAGGAAAAACGCAGUAAAAUUUUUCUGCAGCGUUUCGGACCUCUAUUUAUAUAUACAUGCAGUAACAGUUGCAGCAUUGUUUUCGAAGUGCUUCAGAAAUGAUACAUUGUUCUGAACUGAGGCUACAGAAGGUUGCAAUGGUUCGAAAUGAUGCUUCAGAAGAUGGAAUCGUUCAAUGAAGUGACACACUGAUUCAUGAAAUGAGAUGACUGUUCAGGAAGAGAUGCAAUCUUUGAUGAACAGACAUAAACUUACAGCAAAAGUGUAACCUUUGGAGUGAACCAUUGCCUCUUUUAAGAAGAGGCAUGUUAUGGCUAUAUAGACCUGCUUUCAUCCACAAGUUUUGAUACGAAAUUUCAGAAUAAAAAAUACUCCUCUUGUCUUCAAAAAUUCUAUGUGAUCAUUCAAACUGUUGAGUGUGUUUGACGAGUCCAAAUAUUUGAGGUACCGCUAUAUUUGGAUUGAAGGCCAUUUUAUCCUGAGAGGAAAAAUUCCAUAACCUUGGGUACAGUGAGGGGAAUUGUUUCCUUAAGGAAACUUCGUGAAUUCGGACGACUUGGCCUUAUUCAUUUUUGUUUCAUCUAUUUUUUGGUAAAAAUAAAAUACAUCUCUUGGAAAGGUCAUUUUGAUCUGUGUUGAGGGUAUUUGAUAUACUUUAUUGUGUUCUUGUUUAUACCUGAACUCUAGUUGAAGUUGUUGUUCUGCAUAUACAGAUUCUGCGUACCCGUGGAAGGAAAUAACAUUAACGCCAUUAGUUUUAAAUAAUGAGUUAGACACUCGUAAUCACCUAUAUCACAUAUUUAAAGGGGAGAACAACCCCACAUACAACGACUAAUUCAAAACAACAAAAAAACACAUUCAGGUAUCCUUAAUUCGGCAAAUGGGCUAAAAAUACUUGACGUGUAUCACAAGACAAAUUUUAAUAACAAAUAUUCAUGGAUUCACGUAGACAUGACAAAGAAAUAGAAAAUGAAGGAAGCAAGAGUUAAUAUUACGGAUAUGCAUACAGGAAGCCAAACUAUUACAAAAAUAAUCAUAAGUCACCUGACAUCAAAAAAGACUUUGAAGGACAAACUAUAUAAGGUUUGAGAUUAACCUGGAAAGCAAUCGUAUAAAUAUAAAAAAUAAGUGAAGAUUUGCGGAAGAUGACCAGCAAUAUCAAAAUAAAAUAAGCACACGUCUUCACGUAAACAUAUUCAAACAUAAAAAGAAGAAGAAAUAAGAGUAAUUUUUACAUCCAACGGCCCCAAAUCCGAAUAAGGAGGAAACCAAUUUCAAGUUCGAUUAUUUAGGAGAUAAAAUAUCAUAGAGAGGAUAAUGAUAUAUGUGAAAAGAUAUAUAACUAAAAUUAAGAACAACGAGCAGUAGUCCCAAAAUAAGAUGAAUACAUACACAUAUAUUUACAGACCAUCCAUAUCGCACGCGAAAUAACUUUUCAUAAUAAAAAAUUACAUACACCCGCAAAUUCAAAGGAAGACAACAACGACAACAUGAGUUUCAAAAUGAAACCCACACAUCGACAGAACCAAAAUAGAAGGAGAAGAAACAAAUCAGAAUUUUAUUUCUUAUUCACAAAGUCGACGAAAACAACAACAAAGAAAAAAAGAAUGAAACAAAAUCGCAUAUUUCUCAGCAAAAUAGGAAGGAAAAGAAUGGAGAACUGAAGGUUCAUUCGCCCCAUCAUAAACAACGGACAACAAACCUCCAUAACCAAACUUCAAGCCAAAAUCACAUAUUCACCAACCAAAACCACUUCCCAAAACUAACGACGACGACAUAUACCCUUUUAUCCAGAAUCGACAAUAACAACAACACAAGUUUAACCAAAACUUAAGCAAAAUCGUAUAUUUUCAUAAUCAAGGUAAAGAAAAGAGGUGAAUUUGUACCUUUUCCAGGGCAGCGAACUAGGAAUCCGAGGCGAAGAGCAAUUCUACCACCAACGACGACUCCGAAUUUGAACAACGAAAGCAACGAGAGAGCGGCGGGAGUAAAUCCAAACCAAAAAAAUUGAGUGCGUAGUGAAUCGGAGAGUGAGAUAAAACUUUUAAAAAAUUCAAUUUCUCUAUUAUGUCCUCCCCUAAAGGGGUGAACAAGACCCCCUUUUUAAUAGACAAAAUUGGAUCACCACAGCUUCUUAGACACGCUUCCACCGGUUCCAACAAUUUGAAAAUUUUCAAUUCUUUGAAAAGGCAAAACCUUUUAGAAAUCAGUAAGAUUGAUUGCUGAAAAGAAAUAAAGUAGAAAAAGGGGUCACCACUUUCAGUCUAUUUGAAGGAAAGUGACGGAUUGGAGGCUAUCUAGCUUGAAUCCGUUGGUUUGAAGGGCUAAACAUUCUCAAAACAUGAAGGACCUUGAGCUUUUCCAUCUUUUCCAGAAAAUGCAGAGCCUAGGGCUUUGUUCUGCUUCAACAAGAAGUGAUGGGGAAGGUG
This 18286-nucleotide long non-coding RNA is filed under the name Capsicum annuum. RNAcentral's name for it is "long non-coding RNA (CANN_LNC004352)". The record is from RNAcentral. Lineage: Eukaryota; Viridiplantae; Streptophyta; Magnoliopsida; Solanales; Solanaceae.